CCUACGGGUGGCUGCAGUGGGGAAUAUUGGACAAUGGGCGAAAGCCUGAUCCAGCCAUGCCGCGUGUGUGAAGAAGGCCUUCGGGUUGUAAAGCACUUUCAGUGGGGAAGAAAGCCUUGGGGCUAAUACCCUCGAGGAAGGACAUCACCUACAGAAGAAGCACCGGCUAACUCCGUGCCAGCAGCCGCGGUAAUACGGAGGGUGCGAGCGUUAAUCGGAAUUACUGGGCGUAAAGCGCGCGUAGGCGGUCUGAUAAGCCGGUUGUGAAAGCCCCGGGCUCAACCUGGGAACGGCAUCCGGAACUGUCAGGCUAGAGUGCAGGAGAGGAAGGUAGAAUUCCCGGUGUAGCGGUGAAAUGCGUAGAGAUCGGGAGGAAUACCAGUGGCGAAGGCGGCCUUCUGGACUGACACUGACGCUGAGGUGCGAAAGCGUGGGUAGCAAACAGGAUUAGAUACCCCGGUAGUC
Molecule: ribosomal RNA, 465 nt
Filed under: Vreelandella stevensii
Lineage: Bacteria; Pseudomonadati; Pseudomonadota; Gammaproteobacteria; Oceanospirillales; Halomonadaceae
Description: partial 16S ribosomal RNA
Rfam family: Bacterial small subunit ribosomal RNA
Source: RNAcentral